UGGGGAAUAUUGCGCAAUGGGCGAAAGCCUGACGCAGCGACGCCGCGUGGGUGAUGAAGGCCUUCGGGUCGUAAAGCCCUGUCGGGGGGGAAGAAACGUCUCGGGCCUAAUAUGCUCGAGAAUUGACGGUACCUCCUAAGGAAGCACCGGCUAACUCCGUGCCAGCAGCCGCGGUAAUACGGAGGGUGCUAGCGUUGUUCGGAAUCACUGGGCGUAAAGGGCGUGUAGGCGGUCCGCUAAGUCUGAUGUGAAAUCCCCUCGCUCAACGAGGGAACUGCGUCGGAUACUGGCGGACUUGAGUACCGGAGAGGAAGGUGGAAUUCCCGGUGUAGCGGUGAAAUGCGUAGAUAUCGGGAGGAACAUCGGUGGCGAAGGCGGCCUUCUGGACGGAUACUGACGCUGAGACGCGAAAGCGUGGGGAGCAAACAGG
This 430-nucleotide ribosomal RNA is filed under the name uncultured Syntrophobacteraceae bacterium. RNAcentral's name for it is "bacterial SSU rRNA". It matches the Rfam family "Bacterial small subunit ribosomal RNA", at positions 355 to 776 of the family's 1533-position model. The record is from RNAcentral. Lineage: Bacteria; Pseudomonadati; Thermodesulfobacteriota; Syntrophobacteria; Syntrophobacterales; Syntrophobacteraceae.